UAGGGAAUCUUCCGCAAUGGACGAAAGUCUGACGGAGCAACGCCGCGUGAGUGAAGAAGGAUUUCGGUUCGUAAAACUCUGUUGUUAGGGAAGAAAAAAUGUAUAGUAACUAUAUACAAAAGAGACGGUACCUAACCAGAAAGCCACGGCUAACUACGUGCCAGCAGCCGCGGUAAUACGUAGGGGGCAAGCGUUGUCCGGAAUCACUGGGCGUAAAGGGUUCGCAGGCGGAAAUGCAAGUCAGUUGUGAAAGGCAGAGGCUCAACCUCUGUAAGCAAUUGAAACUGUAUUUCUUGAGAUGUGGAGAGGCAAGUGGAAUUCCUAGUGUAGCGGUGAAAUGCGUAGAUAUUAGGAAGAAUACCGGUGGCGAAGGCGACUUGCUGGACACAAACUGACGCUGAGGAACGAAAGCGUGGGUAGCAAACAGG
Molecule: ribosomal RNA, 428 nt
Filed under: Verrucomicrobiota bacterium
Lineage: Bacteria; Pseudomonadati; Verrucomicrobiota
Description: Verrucomicrobia bacterium partial 16S ribosomal RNA
Rfam family: Bacterial small subunit ribosomal RNA
Source: RNAcentral